RNAcentral lists this long non-coding RNA (1261 nucleotides) under Lonchura striata (white-rumped munia). RNAcentral's name for it is "domestica (Bengalese finch) lncRNA (ENSLSDG00000012404.1)". Lineage: Eukaryota; Metazoa; Chordata; Aves; Passeriformes; Estrildidae. The record is from RNAcentral.
GUUUUGAUGCUUUUCAUGUCUUUGGGCAGUUUGCUGUGUUUAUUUUGGGGGGAAGGUCAGCACUCCCAGCUGAUGCUGGGAGAAUGCUCUGGGAGAGAAGCAUCCCUGGAGACAGCCCUCCUUCCAGCAGCACAUGGCAAAACUCUGAGACUUCCCUUUCAGUGGGAGGCACAGGAGAUAUUUUGGACUGCAAGCUGUGGCUUUAAAAAAACACACCCAGUAGUGAUUUGAGGUUUUCUUCUUGAAGCCUUCCUGACUUUGAACAUAAAUUGCAUCUGUUUUGGUAAGCAGGCUACCAGCAAGCCAGACCUGUUCCUGGGAUUACUGUGACCACAGGUAUAGCUGUUUCUUUUCCAUAUGGGAUGACUUAGGCCCCUGUUCCCUGCCGGUGUGUGGUUGGAUUUUACCUUCCUCCACAUCGUGGCAUUUUGGAAAGAGGGGCUUGUUUUACAGAGCAGCUGUGUUGUCUUAAUGCAGCUGUAACGUGUGUUUGUCUCGGAGCACAGCAGGACUAGGAAGAGGUUUUAUUAGAUCAUUCCCAGGUCCCAAUAAUCUCUGAGGCUCUCAGAUCUGUGCUGCUCUCGCUCCGUAGGACAGGGCUGGAAGCUGAAGAUGGGAAAUCACUUGUGUGUGAUCCUUUAUCUGCUUCAUCUCACAGCUGCUGCUCCCCUCCUGGCUGUUUGUAGCAGCCAGAGAGGACCUAGUUCUUGUAUCCCAGACCUUCAACCACAGCCUAACAGCCUCCAAGGGAUCCUCCCUGCUUGGGCUGGUGUUUGUGGCACUGCUGGUGGCUCUGCAGCCUGGAUCCCAAGGAGCGUUCCCAUCCCAUCACCACUGACUGCCAGCAUCGGGAUCACGGCCACCCAGGGAGUUGGACAUGAUGGAGCUGGACACACACCAGGAGCAGCUCGGAAGGAUGGAGAUGAUGUUUCCAGAUCUCCCCUUGAUGGCACCGGGAUGCAGCUCUGCACUGGCACAGCAGGGAGUCUGCUUUAGAGGGAAGGAAAUUCCAGGGUGGGUUUUUCACUAAUUGAUGGGAUUUAAAAGGAUUCUGUGGAUUGUCCUUGAAAUGAGUGCUCUGAAAUGGCCUCCUUUGGCAGCUUCUCCAUUCCCAUUCCAAGCUCCCUGAAAGCUGGCCCAGGUGCAAAUACUCCACCUGGCAUCACAAAUUCAUGUUUCCCUGGCCUGCAGCAUUGCUCCCAGAUCAUCCUUCUGCCUCUUUCCUCUCCUGGCUCAGCCUGGAUUUUUCCAUGCCCACCAG